This 297-nucleotide long non-coding RNA is filed under the name Mytilus galloprovincialis (Mediterranean mussel). The record is from RNAcentral. Lineage: Eukaryota; Metazoa; Mollusca; Bivalvia; Mytilida; Mytilidae.
CCUUUUUAAUGUAAAUAAAACUAUUUUUAAUUAUUGAUUAUAUACACAUAUUCAAUUACUCCUAUCCUAUGAAAAAUAAUUCACAAAGAUUGACUAGUCUCCGUUCUGUGUGUAUUGCUAGAACAUCAAGUAACAUAAUGGUUAAUGUACAUAGUAACAUGUCAACUCUUUUGAAGACAGAACUUUUUUUAAAUUCUCCCUCCAAGCAAAAUUAUUUUUCAGUAUAAACAUGAUAAAGUUAUCUACCUGUAUUAAUGACCUAGAGACUCUCAAGAGCCUGUGUCGCUCACCUUGGAC